AGAGUUUGAUCAUGGCUCAGAUUGAACGCUGGCGGCAGGCCUAACACAUGCAAGUCGAGCGGAUGACGGGAGCUUGCUCCUUGAUUCAGCGGCGGACGGGUGAGUAAUGCCUAGGAAUCUGCCUGGUAGUGGGGGACAACGUUUCGAAAGGAACGCUAAUACCGCAUACGUCCUACGGGAGAAAGCAGGGGACCUUCGGGCCUUGCGCUAUCAGAUGAGCCUAGGUCGGAUUAGCUAGUUGGUGGGGUAAUGGCUCACCAAGGCGACGAUCCGUAACUGGUCUGAGAGGAUGAUCAGUCACACUGGAACUGAGACACGGUCCAGACUCCUACGGGAGGCAGCAGGGGGGAAUAUUGGACAAUGGGCGAAAGCCUGAUCCAGCCAUGCCGCGUGUGUGAAGAAGGUCUUCGGAUUGUAAAGCACUUUAAGUUGGGAGGAAGGGCAGUAAGCUAAUACCUUGCUGUUUUGACGUUACCGACAGAAUAAGCACCGGCUAACUCUGUGCCAGCAGCCGCGGUAAUACAGAGGGUGCAAGCGUUAAUCGGAAUUACUGGGCGUAAAGCGCGCGUAGGUGGUUUGUUAAGUUGGAUGUGAAAGCCCCGGGCUCAACCUGGGAACUGCAUCCAAAACUGGCAAGCUAGAGUACGGUAGAGGGUGGUGGAAUUUCCUGUGUAGCGGUGAAAUGCGUAGAUAUAGGAAGGAACACCAGUGACGAAGGCGACCACCUGGACUGAUACUGACACUGAGGUGCGAAAGCGUGGGGAGCACACAGGAUUAGAUACCCUGGUAGUCCACGCCGUAAACGAUGUCAACUAGCCGUUGGAAUCCUUGAGAUUUUAGUGGCGCAGCUAACGCAUUAAGUUGACCGCCUGGGGAGUACGGCCGCAAGGGUUAAAACUCAAAUGAAUUGACGGGGGCCCGCACAAGCGGUGGAGCAUGUGGUUUAAUUUCGAAGCAACGCGAAGAACCUUACCAGGCCUUGACAUGCAGAGACUUUUCCAGAGAUGGAUUGNGCCUUUCGGAACUCUGACACAGUGCUGCAUGCUGUCGUCAGCUCGUGUCGUGAGAUGU
Molecule: ribosomal RNA, 1071 nt
Filed under: uncultured Pseudomonas sp.
Lineage: Bacteria; Pseudomonadati; Pseudomonadota; Gammaproteobacteria; Pseudomonadales; Pseudomonadaceae
Description: bacterial SSU rRNA
Rfam family: Bacterial small subunit ribosomal RNA
Source: RNAcentral